This 3101-nucleotide long non-coding RNA is filed under the name Ananas comosus (pineapple). RNAcentral's name for it is "long non-coding RNA (ACOM_LNC007814)". The record is from RNAcentral. Lineage: Eukaryota; Viridiplantae; Streptophyta; Magnoliopsida; Poales; Bromeliaceae.
AGGUCUCAUGUCAUAUAGGAUUGUAUAAAGGAUUAAGGCUUCGUUUAGGAUUGCGGGAAGAUUGCGUGACGUGCGGUGAAAAAAUAUAUUGAAAAAAUAUUCUGUUUGUUUUUAUACGUAAUAUUGUGUUUUGUAUAUCGUGAUGAAUCGAUUACAAUAUAUAUUUUCUGCGGUUCCAUAGGAGAACACAAAAGUAUAUCUUUAUAUUCUUUUUCAUAACUCUAUUUUAUAUAAUAGCGUUUAGAUAUACUUCAAUACUAAAUUAAGCCUAAAUGUUCUUUCUCUUGUAUUCAUUUUAUAUUUUCUUUUAUUUUUGCCAGUAAUAUUUUUGAAUCCUGUGCCCACAUUAAAUGACUUGACGAAACAAAAUUCAAUAGACUGUUCUCAAAUCUCAACUGAGAUACCUAAUAAAGAAGAAAAGAGCUCUUACCUAUCUACUAGGCUAGGCUAGCUUUUAGGGGGGGAUUUUUAUAAUUGGUUGAUAUAGCGCAACCAAGUACGACAUUUAAAUGGGACCCAAUAAUUGCGCACAAUUCUUAAAGUCAUUUAAUUUGUACAGUCAAAAAUUACGUCACAAAAAUUAUAUAUAUAUAUAUAUAUAUAGAGCUAGGCUCCUAUGCUUUCGAAAGUACGGAAGGCCCCGUGCUUAUAAGUUAUUUUCGAUGAUGGGACAUUCGAUUCAGCGAUCGGUUCCGUUAAACUUGAUCUACGCUAUUGGAACUAUCUAAAAACCAAAUUUCAUAAUUUUUUGAUUUCGUAGUCUAGUGAACGAGUAGCCUCAAAAUAAACGGCUGAAAAUGAAAAUCUCAUAAAAAACAAUGAUAAAGGAUUCAAAUUUUAAAUCGAAAGUAUUGAUCUUGCUACUGAUGUUAAGUAGAAUUUUUUCUUAAAUUUUCAUGUAAUUUGGAUACUUCUACACCGUUGAACUUAAAAAUGUGCCAAAUCGAUCGUUAAAAUAGUCAUUUUUUAGACCUUUUGAUCGCUUAGUAAAUAAUGUCAAAAAAAUCUGAAAUUUGGUUUCUAGAUAGUUCCAAUAAGGUAGAUCAUACUUAACGGAGUCGAUCGUCGAAUCGAAUGUCCUAUCAUCGAAAACAACUUACAAACACGGGGCCUCCCGUACUUUCGAAAGUACGGGAGACGAAUUCUAUAUAUAUAUAUAUAUAUAUAGGGUUGGACUGGGCUACUAUUAGUAGCAAAAUCUCAUUAUUGCUACUAGUUUUUUAGUCUUUGGAUCAACUCUUUUCAUUAUUUCUAUCCAUUGGAUUAAAUACUAUAACCCAGUGGGGACCACUCAACCCUAGGGGGACCACUCAACUCUAACCGACUAAUAUCAUCCUGACCCUAUAAUUUUUCAUCCAAGGAUUAAAAACUUGAUAGCAAAAAGAUUAUUUUACUAUUAAUAGUAUUCCAGCUUAAUUAUAUAUAUAUAUAUAUAUAUAUAUAUAUAUAUAUAUAUAUAUGAAUUAGACUGAAAUAUUAUUAAUAGUAUCAAUGAUUUUGUGCUAUUAAGUUUUUUGUCCUUAUAUUAAAAGAUGUGCAGUUAGGAUAAUAUAAGUCCUCUAAGGUUGAGUGGGUGGUUAGUUGAAUAGUAUAAUUGAACGGAUAAAAAUGAUAAAAGAGAUAAAUCUAACGGUAGAAAACUUGAUAGCACCAUCAUAUAUAUAUAUAUAUAACAGAGUGGAUCGUCGAUUCGAAAGCUCUACCAUUGAAAACAACUUAUGAGUACAAAAGUCUCUAUACUCAUAAGAGUAUAUAUAGUAGCCCUAGUAUAUAUAUAUAUAUAGGCUAGGGUUACUAUACUCUUAUGAAUAUAGAGACCUUUGUACUCAUAAGUUGUUUUCAAUGAUGGAGCUUCCAAAUCUACGCUCUAUACCGUUAAAUAUGAUUUAGAGUAUUUGAAAUUUCUAGAAAAUAAAUUUCGCAAUUUUUUGAAAUCGUUAUAAAGUCUAUUAAGCGAAUAUAAAAUGAACGGUCAAAGUUGAACGACGUCCUAAAAAUGGAUGAUCAGAUCUUUCAAUUUAAGAUUGGAGUUAUUGAUCUUUAUCUAGAUAAUGAAUAGAAUUUUCUAUCAAAAAUUCAAGCUAUUUCGAUUCUUUUACAUCGUUAAACUAGCAGGUAUCACAUACCGGCAGUUAAAAAUUAUUAAUUUUGUGAGCUAUUGAUCGUAAGGUAAAUAAUAUCGAAAAAUUAUAAAAUUUGAUUUCUAGAAAUUUUAAAUGCUUUAAAUAAUAUUUAAUGGUCUGGAUCAUCGAUUCAGAAGCUCUAUCAUCGAAAAUAAUUUAUGAGUACGAAUGCGAUCGUACUCAUAAGAGUAUAGUAGCCGGACUCUAUAUAUAUAUGAGUCUGGCUAUUAUACUUUUAUGAGUACAGCCUGUUUUAUACUCAGACUUCGUUUGGAAUUGUGAGAAGAUUGUAUUUUAUGAGUGUAAGCUCUUUUAUACUCAGGCUUCGUUUGGAAUUGUGGGAAAAUUGCAUUUUGUGCGGCGGGAAAGGACGAUGAAAAAAUAUCCUAUUUUAAUAUUGCGUUCCGCAUGUCAUGAUUAGUCGAUUACGAUAUAUUUUCUACGAUCCUAUCGGAGAUCGCAGAAGUAUAUCUCUACAUAUUUUUUUUUCUCAACUCUAUUUUAUCUAAUAGCAUUAGAUAGACUUGAAUACCAAAGUAAGCGUCAUACUUUUCGAUCCCUUUGAUCACUUUCAUUCGUCAGAGCAUACUAUUCAACCAAUUACUACUCAACCCUCGAAAAUCUUAAAUCAUACUGUUCAACCAACUAUCAACUCAACUAUAAGGAAUCACUAUCAUCCUAAUGGCACAUAUCUUUUAUUUAAGAUCGAAGAAUCUAAUAGAAAUGAUAACUCAUGCUAUUAAUAGUAGCCUAGCCUAAUUCUAUAUAUCAUACGUUAUCUUUUCUAUUUUUUCUUCUUUUUUUUUUGAGAGAUAAGUAGCAUGUUGUCCGCUUCGUUUAUUUCAUUUGGAAAUAAACUUAGCUGGAAAUAUGAAUCAAGUAGAAUUUGAAUUUGAAUCUUGGGUAUCAACUAUCAAGUCCUUUACCACUUGCUCUAAGAACGGUCGGUAUAUAUCAUACGUUAUCACAAGUGAAUAC